UGCGUAGGCGGUUAUGUGUGUCAGAUGUGAAAGCCCAUGGCUCAACCAUGGAACUGCAUUUGAAACUGCAUAACUUGAGUAUCGGAGAGGUAGAUGGAAUUCUAGGUGUAGCGGUGAAAUGCGUAGAUAUCUAGAAGAACACCAGCGGCGAAAGCGAUCUACUGGACGAAUACUGACGCUGAGGCACGAAAGCCCAGGGGAGCGAAGA
RNAcentral lists this ribosomal RNA (208 nucleotides) under uncultured bacterium. RNAcentral's name for it is "partial 16S ribosomal RNA". It matches the Rfam family "Bacterial small subunit ribosomal RNA", at positions 568 to 774 of the family's 1533-position model. The record is from RNAcentral.